UGCCAGCCGCCGCGGUAAUACGGAGGGUGCAAGCGUUGUUCGGAAUCAUUGGGCGUAAAGCGCGUGUAGGCGGCUUGGCAAGUCGGAUGUGAAAUCCCGGGGCCCAACCCCGGAACUGCAUUCGAAACUGCCUGGCUAGAGUCCCGGAGAGGAGGGCGGAAUUCCCGGUGUAGAGGUGAAAUUCGUAGAUAUCGGGAGGAACACCAGUGGCGAAGGCGGCCCUCUGGACGGUGACUGACGCUGAGACGCGAAAGCGUGGGGAGCAAACAGGAUUAGAUA
This 279-nucleotide ribosomal RNA is filed under the name uncultured bacterium. RNAcentral's name for it is "partial 16S ribosomal RNA". It matches the Rfam family "Bacterial small subunit ribosomal RNA", at positions 506 to 784 of the family's 1533-position model. The record is from RNAcentral.